This 254-nucleotide ribosomal RNA is filed under the name uncultured bacterium. RNAcentral describes it as "partial 16S ribosomal RNA". It matches the Rfam family "Bacterial small subunit ribosomal RNA", at positions 524 to 776 of the family's 1533-position model. The record is from RNAcentral.
CACGUAGGGGGCAAGCGUUGUCCGGAAUCAUUGGGCGUAAAGAGCUCGUAGGCGGCUCAGUAAGUCGGGUGUGAAACCUCCAGGCUCAACCUGGAGACGCCACCCGAUACUGCUGUGGCUAGAGUCCAGUAGGGGAGUGUGGAAUUCCCGGUGUAGCGGUGAAAUGCGCAGAUAUCGGGAGGAACACCAGCGGCGAAGGCGGCACUCUGGGCUGGUACUGACGCUGAGGCACGAAGGUCAGGGGAGCAAACGGG